This is a long non-coding RNA of Empidonax traillii (willow flycatcher), 3298 nucleotides long. RefSeq lists it as uncharacterized. Lineage: Eukaryota; Metazoa; Chordata; Aves; Passeriformes; Tyrannidae. The transcript is spliced from 2 exons. The record is from RefSeq and is a predicted model, not a curated record.
AUCAGCCAGAUUAUAGGCUGGACUAAGGCUCCAAACAAGGACCACACUCCUGAAUCACACCCACUGGCUGCUUUGGAGGUGGUGUUAUGCUCAAGGUUACAGGAAUAACCCAACUGGGUCUGGUUACGGAGAAGGAGAUCACCCUGCUUCCUCCUCCCCGUCGCACCCUGGAUGUGCCUCCAUUUGUCUCUGGCUGUGAAACAGCAGCACACACUAAAGCAGAAGGCUGUCCUUCAGCUGGCACUGGGACAAAGAGAGGAGAGGGCUGGGAGCUCCCCUUGACCUGCUGAUGGAGGCAAGAGCCUUGGUGAUAACCCUGUCUUCACCUGGAUUUUAUCUCAUGUGAGUUUUACCAUGAAUUCUGUCAUUCAUGCUCUUCCUGUUUCUUUCUCUGGAGUCAGUGAAGACCUGAGCUCUUCCUAAGAGACACUUCAUUUCCACCCAACAUGCUGGUUUAGUGAGAGACUUGCUGCUUAACCUGGAGGCUGGGGUAGAUGGUGGGGUUGCUGCUUUGAGCCUCCCAGCUUGUGGGAGCGCUGCCAUUUCCUGCUCCCGCCUCCCAGCACGGGGCCCUCACAACUGCUCUCCCUGGCAAUGGCCUGUUUCCAGCGGUGUCUUCCAGCAGCAAUCAGCGCUGGAGUGGGGGCUGCGUGCCCAGGAACCAAGCACUGGGGAGCAGCGCCUGGUUUCAAGCGUUGCUCUGUGGGUUGCAAGCACAACUAUCCAUUUCCUCCCUCCUGAGCUCCACGUGGCCACUGUAGCUCUCCCUUCUCGGCAUGUGCCAGCGCUCGGGUGCUGCAGGAUUGUUCCAUGGUAUGGGUCUCAAAAUACUGAUACCCCUUAGGGUGGUUUUGUGCAGCUUCCCCCCUGCCACGGGUAUUUUGAGGAGCCUGGUCUGGCUCAAAAUGAGCUGCACUCCCUCUGCUGCUCCCCAGAACUGUGGGGCUGGUCAUCCUCCCUCGUUACCAGCGCCAUGGAUGCAAGCAGCGGGAGGAGCAGAGCCAACAGCACGCGCUGGCUGUGCCCCUUACUAAUGUUGUUCAUAAUGUUUCUGUGCCAUCUUCCUUCUUUCCACCCUCUCCCUGAACAACUAAAUUAAUUAGAGUGGGUUUUUGUAUUUAAAUACUGUCAUGGAAUAAUAAUCCUGGUGAAUUCAAUUUUUUUUUUUUUUGUCAUUCCCCACUGCUUCUUUUCUCUGUUGUGCUCUCUUUUAAUAUGCUGCUGAUACUUUGUUAUAGCUAUGCAAGAUCACAGCUGUUGUCUGAAAAAAAAAAAAAAGAGUAAAAUCAUUCUGUGUGCUGUUGCCAUCCAAAACCCAUUUUUCUUUCUCCACCAGCUCACAAAAUAACCCUUCCCCUAUUAAGUGCAGAAGCAUACAUUUCUCUUGGCUUGUAAAAAGCCAAAAAGCCUCACAGCAGCUUCAGCGAAGCUGCAGCAGUGGAAGGAAGUCAAAGCUCCUAUAACAGGCGGGGGCUCCAUCCUGAGCCUGUUAUGAGCUUGGAUUGUGUGAGUUCUGGAUGCCAGGAGUGACUCCACAGAGGCAGCAGGUCUGUGGGCACCACCAGCUCCUGUGCUUUACUAGCCACUGAGUUUUGUUUACCUGGAUGUGUUAAUUUGACCUGUAAACAUGUUUCCUGAAAGGACCCUGUAACAAAGCCAUUCCUGCCGCUCUCAUAAAGGGACAAAACAUUCCCAUUAGAGCCCAAAAUUAUAUUUACAGUAUUUUGCUUUACACUGGCCUUUCCGGACAGCUUUCCUCAGCCCUGCCAGGCCCUCUCUGACCCUUUGAAGUCAGCCCUUGGUGGUCACUGGCAUCGAGACCAAAGCUAAGCAAGGAUCAAGCGGUAGAAGGACCCUGCUCUCAUCAACAGCGCAGAGCAGUAAAUGAAGGAGAGCCAGGAUGGAGAUUUGAGUCGUUGUCUCCCAGUCCACAGUUCCAAUUACAAAACCGACUUCAAUCAGCCUCACAAUGCACACAGCCAGUUCUGAAAUUCCUCCUUGACUGCCUGACCCCGGCCCUGUCCAGCGCCUGCACUGCCUACACCUCACGUCUCUGAUGUGUCAGGGCGGUUCUAAAUAAAGCUCGGCUGAGGCCCGUGCAGUUCCAAUUAACACACAGGAGCUGUGUGACCGCUUGGCAGGGCUUGCCCUGGCCCUGCUGCCUCUAACAAGGGUGAUGAGGGUGGCUGAGGGGAGAAUGCAUUAAAGGAGCGAGAUGAAAAGCUUGUUUUCCCCCCAGAAUGCAGCUCCUGGAGAGGUGCACAGGGCGCUGCUGGGUCAGUGUGUUCAGCAGUCUCAGCUCCCCGCUCGGGCCAGAGGGAGGAGGAAGCUUGGUGGCUGCCUGGGUUUUUUGGAAAGCAGAGCCAUGUAAAGCAAAACCUUUUAAGGGGAUCCAGAGAGGGCUGAAAACGGGGGGCACCUGCUGUGACACCCACAGGGGAAGAUGAUGGUGAAUGCCAAAGACAGGGGAGCGACCCCGUCCUUCCCAGGCCAUGCACAGCCUGCUCCUAACCCAUCAGACAUACCCUCAGCAUGUGCCUCUGAGUCCAGCCUCCACAUUCCUGGCCACCCCUGGAACCAGAAUGGACCCUGCUCAGGGAGACAGAGGUGAUGAGGAGCCUGCAGCUGGGGUGCAGAGGCAGGGAAGUAUUAACUUCCAUGUGUUUUGCCUCAGAAUUGAGUCUGGAGUGUGUUCCACACCCAAAAGGGACAGGAUGACUCUGAGGCUCUGCUGGGAACAGGGAUGUUGGUAAUGUGGCACAAAAGGUAAUUCAGCCCCUGGUGACGUGAUAUACAACCACCUUGCCAGAUGCUUCAACCCCCCAAACAGUUGUAAGUGCUCCUCCACGGGCCUCAGUUAAAUUCCCUCCAGGAUGUAAACUUGGGCUUGUUUGGACCAAUACCUACAGACUUGAUUGCAACAGCAGAUGGUUUAUUUCUACCUGCAAGUGAGAACGGGGAGUGUAUAUCACGGCCCUGACACAUUUUACAUGGAGCAGAUGUUUCUAUUAAUGCCAGAAUUGGGUGGAAAUGCAAAGGAUGCUUUUUGCUUUUUUCUCCCCCCUCAAAACUAUUUUACUCAAUUAAAUUGCAACUUGCUGAAGUAUUCCAGUGAAUCACUUCCCUUUUUUUUUUUUUUUUUUUUUGUUUGAUUAGUAGGCUCUAAAGGGACAAAAGAAUAGCUUUGUAUCAGUCUCCCUCAAUUACAUGUAAAGUACAUCUCGACAGAGUCUGAAGAUCCAUCUUUCACUGGCAGUUGCAAAGCCAUCGACAUAAUAAAAUAAUACUCUGAUUGGUA